Molecule: ribosomal RNA, 439 nt
Filed under: uncultured prokaryote
Description: bacterial SSU rRNA
Rfam family: Bacterial small subunit ribosomal RNA
Source: RNAcentral
CCUACGGGGGCAGCAGUGAGGAAUAUUGGUCAAUGGGCGCAAGCCUGAACCAGCCAUCCCGCGUGCAGGAAGACGGCGCUAUGCGUUGUAAACUGCUUUUCCAGGGAGAGAAACUUGCGCACGUGUUGCGCAAUUGACGGUACCCUGGGAAUAAGCAUCGGCUAACUCCGUGCCAGCAGCCGCGGUAAUACGGAGGAUGCGAGCGUUAUCCGGAUUCAUUGGGUUUAAAGGGUGCGUAGGCGGACUAUUAAGUCAGUGGUGAAAGCCUGCAGCUUAACUGCAGAACUGCCAUUGAUACUGAUAGACUUGAGUGUGGUUAAGGUAGGAGGAAGGUGUAAUGUAGCGGUGAAAUGCUUAGAUAUUACACAGAACACCAAUUGCGUAGGCAGCUUACUGAGCCGACACUGACGCUGAGGCACGAAAGCGUGGGGAUCGAACA